Molecule: ribosomal RNA, 499 nt
Filed under: Neisseria weaveri
Lineage: Bacteria; Pseudomonadati; Pseudomonadota; Betaproteobacteria; Neisseriales; Neisseriaceae
Description: bacterial SSU rRNA
Rfam family: Bacterial small subunit ribosomal RNA
Source: RNAcentral
GAGUUUGAUUAUGGCUCAGAUUGAACGCUGGCGGCAUGCUUUACACAUGCAAGUCGGACGGCAGCACAGAGAAGCUUGCUUCUUGGGUGGCGAGUGGCGAACGGGUGAGUAAUAUAUUGGAACGUACCGAGUAAUGGGGGAUAACUUGCCGAAAGGUAAGCUAAUACCGCAUACGCUCUGAGGAGGAAAGCAGGGGACCUUCGGGCCUUGCGUUAUUCGAGCGGCCAAUAUCUGAUUAGCUAGUUGGUGGGGUAAAGGCCUACCAAGGCGACGAUCAGUAGCGGGUCUGAGAGGAUGAUCCGCCACACUGGGACUGAGACACGGCCCAGACUCCUACGGGAGGCAGCAGUGGGGAAUUUUGGACAAUGGGCGCAAGCCUGAUCCAGCCAUGCCGCGUGUCUGAAGAAGGCCUUCGGGUUGUAAAGGACUUUUGUCAGGGAAGAAAAGGUUGUGGCUAAUAUUCCAUGACNGAUGACGUACCUGAAGAAUAAGCACCGCA